This 460-nucleotide ribosomal RNA is filed under the name uncultured bacterium. RNAcentral describes it as "partial 16S ribosomal RNA". It matches the Rfam family "Bacterial small subunit ribosomal RNA", at positions 338 to 795 of the family's 1533-position model. The record is from RNAcentral.
CCUACGGGUGGCAGCAGUGAGGAAUAUUGGUCAAUGGACGAGAGUCUGAACCAGCCAAGUAGCGUGAAGGAUGACUGCCCUAUGGGUUGUAAACUUCUUUUAUAUGGGAAUAAAACGUUCCACGUGUGGGAUUUUGUAUGUACCAUAUGAAUAAGGAUCGGCUAACUCCGUGCCAGCAGCCGCGGUAAUACGGAGGGUCCGAGCGUUAUCCGGAUUUAUUGGGUUUAAAGGGAGCGUAGGGGGAUUGUUAAGUCAGUUGUGAAAGUUUGCGGCUCAACCGGAAAAUUGCAGUUGAAACUGGCAGUCUUGAGUACAGUAGAGGUGGGCGGAAUUCGUGGUGUAGCGGUGAAAUGCUUAGAGAUCACGAAGAACUCCGAUUGCGAAGGCAGUUCACUGGACUGCAACUGACACUGAGGCUCGAAAGUGUGGGUAUCAAACAGGAUUAGAUACCCCAGUAGUA